This 200-nucleotide ribosomal RNA is filed under the name uncultured bacterium. RNAcentral describes it as "partial 16S ribosomal RNA". It matches the Rfam family "Bacterial small subunit ribosomal RNA", at positions 131 to 334 of the family's 1533-position model. The record is from RNAcentral.
CGAUGGAGGGGGAUAACUACUGGAAACGGUAGCUAAUACCGCAUAACGUCGCAAGACCAAAGAGGGGGACCUUCGGGCCUCUUGCCAUCGGAUGUGCCCAGAUGGGAUUAGCUAGUAGGUGGGGUAAGGCUCACCUAGGCGACGAUCCCUAGCUGGUCUGAGAGGAUGACCAGCCACACUGGAACUGAGACACGGUCCAG